UCGACGACGCCGUCAUAACUGCGUCCUGGUCCACGCGCCGUCCUCCGCCGGGCUGCAGAAGCAGAGCGCGCAGCCAGAGAGCGAGGAAGGGUUGUGUCUGCCUCUGCGUCUGCCGCUCAACAGGGAAGAACCCCAUUGUCCACUCUUCGGACGACGACGAGUAGAAUAAGCACCUGCAAUUCACUCUAUCUAUCCAUGCAUUCUCGUUUCAGUUUAGCCUGUUGACUACUAUUCUGUCAGCUUUCAGUUAGUACUCUGUCAGUUUAGCCUGUUUGUAUCAAUGUUCAGUUAGCGUUUGUAACAAUGUAUCCAUGUUUGUAUCCAUUUGAAUUUCUAUCCAUGUUUAUAGUCAAAGAACUAUGCUGUGAUGAACAAUGUCUGAACUUUAUCGCACUGCAAAAUCCCUGAUCUUUUCAAUUAAGUUCACUUGACAGAUGCAGUACAAAUGACAACCAUGCCAACAUCAACUACAUCAGAACAAAACAGAAGAAAUACUACAGAGCUCUAUCUCGGCAAGACUAAUAUUCCAUCAAAUGUUAUGAUCCUAUCCCAAAACAGAAGCCUUUCCUUGUGGAUCCUUCCAUUUGCCCUCUUUUCAAAUUAGGAAGCACGUCAUCCUACGAAAACUCAAAUCCUAAAUUGUCAAUCAUAGUACAUCCCAACAGCAAAGGGAAUUCGUGACGACGAAGAACUAAACCUGAGAUGCAGAUGGAGCCCCAAAGUUGACGACGGACGUCUCCUUCCUGCUGCCGCUCCCUCCGCAGCCCAGACUCGCCGUCGCCGUCGACCUAGCUCUCAUGCUUUUGGCAUUGGGCGAGACAGAGGGGAACAAGAGGGAGAGAGGCUAGGGAUUUGGCUGCAGCUCGAAUGGGGAACGAGAGAGAGGGGCUACAGAUUUUUCCCGUGCAACCGAGAUGUGGAGUGC
Molecule: long non-coding RNA, 925 nt
Filed under: Triticum aestivum (bread wheat)
Lineage: Eukaryota; Viridiplantae; Streptophyta; Magnoliopsida; Poales; Poaceae
Description: long non-coding RNA (TAES_LNC027070)
Source: RNAcentral